Molecule: long non-coding RNA, 2344 nt
Organism: Cyanistes caeruleus (blue tit)
Lineage: Eukaryota; Metazoa; Chordata; Aves; Passeriformes; Paridae
Source: RefSeq, a predicted model, not a curated record
GCGGCGGCUCAGCCCUGCGGGGGCGUCGCAGGGCGCCUCGGGUAAAGCUGGGGCUUCUCCUAAUUUAAUUUUGGUUUUAUUUUUACUUUUGCAGCGUGCGUAUAAUGUGUGAGUUACAGAGCUAUUAUUAUCUAAAGUCAGAGCCAAUCAUAAGCAAGCAGCUGAGCCUGACUGCAGUUGACUGAGAACAGAAACACAGAGGCUAGAUUUACCUGGUCCAUGUCUACAGAGUGUGCAAAGCCUUAUGCAAAACAAAAGUUGUCUAUUGCAGCCCAAGCAAGAGAAAGUCAGAUAAUAAGCAGAAGGAUUAUGCCACAUCUGGAUGUAUUGCCUUCCAUGACAAAGGAGGUGUUUUCCUGUGCUUUCACCACUCAUAUUGCUACAUCAUGUGUAAAAAAUGUAGCAUUUCAGAGGCCAUCAUGCUUGUUUCUCUCCCAAGGGAUCAAGACCAACAUGGACUGUGAAGAGCAGUGGAGUUGAGACUGUGUCACUCAGCUGAAAGCAAGGUUGUUUAGAGAAGAUGGAGCGGGCAGUUGAACUGUAAUCACCCUGAACAGAAAAGGUCUGAAGACAGCUGCUGUGGUCUUAUGAAGAAGAGGCUAGUUGCAUGGAGUUCAUGUUUGCAAUAAGUUGAAAUGAUUGACUUUCCUUUUCUAAGUUUAUUUUACAAGAAGCUACUAGGUUGGCUAGGAAUCUGUUUUAGCAGCUGAAAUAUAGGAAACAAAGACACAUUUAGAACUUCUGGAAAAUCCAUAAAUUAUCUGGACCAAAUACUUUAGUAGUUGACCAUUUCUAAAGAAAUAGAGAUAGCAUAAACAGUCCUCAGAAGGCUUGUUUCCAAAGCAGACAAUUGUAAAUGGAUUGGGGAUUUGUAUGCCUAAACAAAGAAGCAAGAACAAUGACUCUGUAUUUCCUGUAGUAAAUAUGUUCUAUUGGUCUCAUAAGUAGAGAUUAUGAGUUCUAAUAUUGAGAGAUGGAGUAAAUCUUUGCUUUAUAUUACAACAGUUUUUGGAUUGAACAUAUUCUCAGUAGGCUUUGAUAUUCCCAUCCUGCAGUUAAGUAAGUUUUAAAUGAUACGACCUUAUAUAUGAAUGUAUAGAUUCUAAUGUAUUGUGUGAAGAACAUACAGUAGAGACUGAGUACAAAGAUUAAUUGAAGUGAGAUAAGCAGGCCUUUUAUAUAAGAAAUAUUUUCAAGAAACAUCUGAAACAGGGCAGUUUGUAACAGCCAUAGUCUUCUUCAUGUUUUAUUAUGAUAACAGUAAACAUUCUGUUUUGUCAAUGCUAAUGAUCCUUAACUUUGGCUUGGGAUAUCCAAAUCACCUCUUGGUCUUUAAUUUCAAGCAAAAAUAAACAUGUCUUUGCAAGGCAUUGUUUUGGCCUUAAAGAAAAUAGUAUUUUGGUUACAGAGUCAUAUUUUUAUAGAUUUGGAAAGUGUAUGGCAAGCAUGUGGUGUUUAUCAGUUACUGUAGGAAGAUAUGUGAAGGAGGGCAAAGUCUGUGUGAGUCUUACUUAUUUCUUUCAAAUAUUCCCUCUUCAGUAGCUGAGAAGAUUAAUACCAUUAAUGUUCACAACUUUUGGUUGUUAAGAUGAGAAAGUAUUAUUAACUUAAAAUGUUCCUUUAUGAAAAUUUUUGGGUUCCAAGAAAUGCAAUUAGACAAAUAAAUUUGAAUGUGUUUAAUAAGCAUACAAUGAUUCAAUAUUUAGACAGCUUGUUUUUGCUUUAGUUUUGGACUUGACUUUUUCAAAGUUUAGCUAAAUCUAGCAGAAUCAACUAAAAAAAAACAACAUAACAAAACAAACAAACAAACAAAAAAUCCAACAUUGGCUAGAGACUAUCAGUUUGCACAGGUGCAAAUGGGUUUGAUCAUAUGUUAAUUUAUCGAGAGCUGAGGGCACAACUCCAAACUGCAAAACCAGAUGCUCUGCUUUUUUCUCUAUGUGAGAGAGCUGGAAAAGAGAAAGACUGAAAACCCAUGAAUCAUGGGAGGAUUCUGUUUUUAUGAUCUGGAGUUUAAAGCAAUCAUAAAAUUUGAGAAACUGGAGAUAGUUUCAAAUAUAUGGAGGCCAGCACUCCUUAAAAAAUAAAAAUCCCUGGUUUAUCUAUGCAGUUUAUCUACUAUGGAGGCUCUUGAACCUUUUCUUAUUAUUAUUUCUGGUUUUCUUCCUAUUCUGUAUAAUUCCAGCAAGAGAGAUUCCCUCAAGCAAAAUUGCUUUCCAUUGUCAUCCCUCCCUUUCCUUGAUCUCUGGUGGCUCUUGAAUCUAUUAUGGCACUCUGUAUGAAACAAGCUUAUGUCAAUUCACAUUCUUUCAUCUCCUUUUUUAAUUAAAUUCACUUGUUUUUU